UCCUGGCUCAGAGUGAACGCUGGCGGCGUGCUUAACACAUGCAAGUCGAACGAGAAACGGUCUAGCUUGCUAGAUGCAGUCUAAGUGGCGCACGGGUGAGUAAUAUAUAGGUAAUAUGCCUCUUACUAAGGGAUAACAGAUGGAAACGUCUGCUAAUACCUUAUAUGCCUUUAGGACUAAAGUCCGCAAGGGAAAGAUUUAUCGGUAAGAGAUUAGCCUGUACAGUAUCAGUUAGUUGGUGAGGUAAUGGCUCACCAAGACAAUGACGCUUAACUGGUUUGAGAGGAUGAUCAGUCACACUGGAACUGAGACACGGUCCAGACUCCUACGGGAGGCAGCAGUGGGGAAUAUUGCACAAUGGACGAAAGUCUGAUGCAGCAACGCCGCGUGGAGGAUGACACAUUUCGGUGCGUAAACUCCUUUUAUAUAGGAAGAUAAUGACGGUACUAUAUGAAUAAGCACCGGCUAACUCCGUG
RNAcentral lists this ribosomal RNA (476 nucleotides) under uncultured bacterium. Its description in RNAcentral is "bacterial SSU rRNA". It matches the Rfam family "Bacterial small subunit ribosomal RNA", at positions 17 to 507 of the family's 1533-position model. The record is from RNAcentral.